GCAGCGCUAUAAAUCCUGGCGCGCCAGUGUGCGCGCUCUCUCAUUUCCGCGAUGUUGUGGUGGGAGUGCGCUAGAGCUUACAAAUAUGAGAAAGUUCGGCUGUUACAAGAAGGAGGCUGAAUGUGGUCUGAAGUCACUCCAGAUGAGGACUCUCCAGCUGUUCUGAUGUCACACAAGACCCCAGAAUGCCUCGAUCCCAAUGGACCAUAACGUUACUAAUGUAAGGCUGAGGUAACUGAGUGCGAGCGUUUGAAAGGUCGAUGGAGAUCAUCCUGUUGUGUGAAAGCUGUGUGAAGAUCUUCAGAAAUCAAGUUUUCUGUUCCUGGUCUUCAAAUGUCAAGUGAUCAGCGCUCACUGUUAACGUUUACAUUAAAAAUAAAAUAAAAAGUUCUAGCAUUGAGCGUCAAGCUGCUGUACGAAGACGCUGAAUGUCUGAGAUUGUAUAAUGUUUGACUUGUCUCAUUCGUGUUUUUAUUUUAUUUUUUUAUAAACACUGGACAAUAAAACUGUAUGAAUAAAAUGUC
Molecule: long non-coding RNA, 524 nt
Organism: Carassius gibelio (silver crucian carp)
Lineage: Eukaryota; Metazoa; Chordata; Actinopteri; Cypriniformes; Cyprinidae
Exons: 5
Source: RefSeq, a predicted model, not a curated record